This 541-nucleotide ribosomal RNA is filed under the name uncultured archaeon. Its description in RNAcentral is "bacterial SSU rRNA". It matches the Rfam family "Archaeal small subunit ribosomal RNA", at positions 459 to 999 of the family's 1478-position model. The record is from RNAcentral.
CAGCCGCCGCGGUAAUACCGGCGGCUCGAGUGGUGGCCACUAUUACUGGGCUUAAAGCGUCCGUAGCUUGGUUGUUAAGUCUCCUGGGAAAUCCAUCGGCUCAACCGAUGGGCGUUCAGGAGAUACUGGCAACCUAGGGACCGGGAGAGGUGAGAGGUACUCCAGGGGUAGGAGUGAAAUCCUGUAAUCCUUGGGGGACCACCUGUGGCGAAGGCGUCUCACUAGAACGGCUCCGACAGUGAGGGACGAAAGCUGGGGGAGCAAACCGGAUUAGAUACCCGGGUAGUCCCAGCUGUAAACGAUGCGCGUUAGGUGUAUCGGUGACCACGAGUCACCGAGGUGCCGAAGAGAAAUCGUGAAACGUGCCGCCUGGGAAGUACGGUCGCAAGGCUGAAACUUAAAGGAAUUGGCGGGGGAGCACCACAACAGGUGGAGCCUGCGGUUUAAUCGGACUCAACGCCGGGAAGCUCACCGGAUAAGACAGCUGAAUGAUAGCCGGGUUGAAGACUCUGCUUGACUAGCUGAGAGGUGGUGCAUGGCC